ACGAUCCAGGUGUACCCGAGGUCGUGGACGGCGGUGAUGCUGACGUUCGACAACGCGGGGAUGUGGAACAUCAGGUCCAACAUGUGGGAGAGGUACUACCUCGGGGCGCAGUUGUACGUCAGCGUGGUAUCGCCGGCGAGGUCGCUCCGGGACGAGUACAACAUGCCGGAGAUAGCCCUCCGCUGCGGCAAGGUCGUCGGCCUGCCGAUGCCGCCGUCCUACCUCCCCGCAUAAUAAAGCAGAACCCCCAACCAAGCUCAGGAACCCAUCCAUGGUGCUAGCUGCUGCUGUACACACAAACAACGCAGGCGACAGGGAGAGC
This 322-nucleotide long non-coding RNA is filed under the name Oryza sativa (Asian cultivated rice). RNAcentral describes it as "long non-coding RNA (OSAT_LNC001691)". Lineage: Eukaryota; Viridiplantae; Streptophyta; Magnoliopsida; Poales; Poaceae. The record is from RNAcentral.